Ataeniobius toweri is the source of this 82-nucleotide non-coding RNA. Lineage: Eukaryota; Metazoa; Chordata; Actinopteri; Cyprinodontiformes; Goodeidae. The record is from the annotation of a GenBank genome assembly.
GUUGUUGAGGCCGAGUGGUUAAGGCAAUGGACUUGAAAUCUACUGGGGUGUCCCCGCACAUGUUCGAAUCCUGCCAGCAACA